Molecule: transfer RNA, 85 nt
Filed under: Wolbachia sp.
Lineage: Bacteria; Pseudomonadati; Pseudomonadota; Alphaproteobacteria; Rickettsiales; Anaplasmataceae
Also listed under: 17 other names
Description: tRNA-Ser
Rfam family: tRNA
About the family: Transfer RNA (tRNA) molecules are approximately 80 nucleotides in length. Their secondary structure includes four short double-helical elements and three loops (D, anti-codon, and T loops).
Source: RNAcentral
GGACGGAUGGCCGAGCGGUUUAAGGCACCAGUCUUGAAAACUGACGUACGGAAACGUACCAUGGGUUCGAAUCCCAUUCCGUCCG